This 255-nucleotide ribosomal RNA is filed under the name uncultured bacterium. RNAcentral's name for it is "partial 16S ribosomal RNA". It matches the Rfam family "Bacterial small subunit ribosomal RNA", at positions 524 to 776 of the family's 1533-position model. The record is from RNAcentral.
UACGUAGGGUGCAAGCGUUUGUCCGGAAUUACUGGGCGUAAAGAGUUCGUAGGCGGUUUGUCGCGUCGUUUUGUGAAAACCAGCAGCUCAACUGCUGGCUUGCAGGCGAUACGGGCAGACUUGAGUACUGCAGGGGAGACUGGAAUUCCUGGUGUAGCGGUGAAAUGCGCAGAUAUCAGGAGGAACACCGGUGGCGAAGGCGGGUCUCUGGGCAGUAACUGACGCUGAGGAACGAAAGCGUGGGUAGCGAACAGG